AAAGGAGAUCUGGGGUUUGGAUAGCAAAAGAAACUGGAAUCUCUUUUGCAAAACUGUCUUGAAGAUUUCAAUCCAAAAUUGGUGACUGUCACCUCACUCCUUCUGUGGUUCACAGCCUUCUCUCAGACAGGCUUUAAGCAGGGAGGGGACACCCCAUGACACGGUGGACCAGACAACCAUGAGGGCACUGCUCCCUCCUCUUGGAGUCAGCUCUUCAUUCCCUCUCCCUUUCCUCUGGCACCUGACAGCCCUCUUGAAAUCCAGAGGUCCCAUUCUGAGGCUGCUGGAAGCCUGCAGGUGGAGGACGACCGGGUGCACCAAAACACUUCAUUUUAUGAUGGAUGCUACACGGCACAAACCAGGUCUCUAUAAGGUCUUCGGGAAGGGUCAGCGGGUCUCAGGAGGCCGGAUUCCCUUCUCCUCUGAAGCUAGGAACUGCUCUCAGCUGUCAGUUUGGGCACCUCUCUCACUCUGCCUUUGCUACCUGCCCUGAAUACAGCUAAUAUUCCCGCAGCACCACAGUGUCAUGGUCAUAAACUAGGAGUUUAUAGACCUACAUGCAAAAGACUGUCUUUAAAAGCCAAAGAUAUUAAACAAAUAUAGACAAGAUAAUAUGAAAUACAACAAGCAAGAUAAUUUUGGCUUUCAAUUUCAAUUGUCUUUCAUACUAGUUACAAAACAUCAACACUUAUGUAAUGUUAGAAUCUUGUGUGAGUUUAUGGAGGUAUUUUUCAUUAAAUUAAAUGCUUACAAGCAUCAGUUUCAUUUUCCUUCAUAACCUUCCUAUAAAAAGAAAAAAAACUAAAGAAACAUAAAAAGUAAAUUAUUUUUAAAAUCCUGCCCCUUUUAUGCCCGUUAACAUUUGCUUUUCUGAUUCAGAGAGUGGAAGUUGAGAUUUAUUGAGUGACAUCUGGUUAAUUAAAUGUCUAUUUCCCGUGGAGUGUUAAAGGAAUCAUAAUGCAGAAAGUCAACAUUGAGAGAGUAAUUAAAGUGCACCUAAAGAGCAGAACUAACCUUGUAGUUCACUGUAAUUAGAAACAAAAUGGGAACAAUAUGUUUAGAGAAUUACCUUCUUUAUUAGGUUGCCAUCGACAGAAACCUGUUUAUGUAUUUGAAAUCUCAUUUUGCACAUCUCCAUUUUCCUCUUGCCCAUCUGUGCAACUUAAUACCUCAGCAUGGAUGGCUCUUUCAGGAGUAAGCAGAGCUCAGUUCUGUUUUCCAGAUGUAUGCUAGUUUGGGGGCACUGGAGUUGCUUUGGAGUACAGGAUCUCUUUCCAGGGCUUCAGUACAUUUUCUUUGCCAGCAGUGGCUGCAGAAGAUUUAAGAAGUUGUAUUGCAAUUCUGCUAGAAAGAAGAGAGCUGAUCUGCGUAGGUGAUCAGGCCUCGACCUCGUUUAGUUGGCAAACCUGGAGGUUGCCAUCCAGCCCUUUCAUGUGAGGUCCUGUGACUUGUCUAAGCCUUUCAUUCAGAGCAAUGCCCCCGCUCCCCUCACCCCACAGUAGUCAGCUCCCGAGGAGCCCGGAGUACCAAAGUUACUGCAUCCUGGAGCCAAGCAGGGAAUCUGGUCCCUCAUUUUCAAUAUAACUGACCCAAAGGAAUACAGAGCAAAUCUGCAACUGAGAUCCACCAAAGUACGAGGGGUGGCCAGAACAAGCGGAGUUGGUCCAAGUACUCCAAGCCAUAGACGGCUCGUAAUGUGCAAGGAGUGACUGGUGAAUCAUGUUUCAAAGCUUUGUGUUUAGAGAACUACUUUUCAAAAUAAAAAAAUAUCAUCUAAAAGCUGGAAUCCA
This 1790-nucleotide long non-coding RNA is filed under the name Apteryx owenii (little spotted kiwi). RNAcentral describes it as "lncRNA (ENSAOWG00000019462.1)". The record is from RNAcentral. Lineage: Eukaryota; Metazoa; Chordata; Aves; Apterygiformes; Apterygidae.